UACAGAGGUCCCAAGCGUUGUUCGGAUUCACUGGGCGUAAAGGGUGCGUAGGCGGUCAGGUAAGUCUGCUGUGAAAUCCCGCAGCUCAACUGCGGAACUGCAUUGGAUACUAUCUGACUAGAGGAAUGGAGGGGAGACUGGAAUACUUGGUGUAGCAGUGAAAUGCGUAGAUAUCAAGUGGAACACCAGUGGCGAAGGCGAGUCUCUGGACAUUUCCUGACGCUGAGGCACGAAAGCCAGGGGAGCAAACGGG
RNAcentral lists this ribosomal RNA (253 nucleotides) under uncultured bacterium. RNAcentral describes it as "partial 16S ribosomal RNA". It matches the Rfam family "Bacterial small subunit ribosomal RNA", at positions 524 to 776 of the family's 1533-position model. The record is from RNAcentral.